CUUCAUUGCUUUGAUUCCCACUUUUCUUCGUCUGUGGAGCUCGGAUUGAUGGCAGUCUUCAUUGCUUUGAUUCCCACUUUUUUCGCUCAGCUUAAUUUGAGCGUCCUGGAUUCAUCGUUUGCUUCGUCUGCUCACAUCAGAAUUAGCUCACUCUUUCCUUCGUUCCCAGCUAACGACGAAUAUCUUGAUUUCGUCGUUGUUUUUUGGUUAUGUUUCUUGUCCUUGGACUUCAGUAUUUCUAUCGUGUUAGCGUUGCAGUGUUCAACGUGACCAAUUUCUGUUCCCCAUCUUGAUGGCCUCCCUCUAGGUGCAGAGACCACUUCAGAUGUUACUUAUCGUUUAUCAUCGGAGACGCAAUUUCAAACUAUCGACGGGCUCUGUGAACGGUCAGUGUAGUUGGACACAUCUAAAAUUUCAAUUGAAGUUACUUGAUUACUUUUAAGAGUUUAAUUUCAACUGGGUGUGGGUUUUCUCUUCAACAGAAUAAAAAAAACUUGUGGUUCGUAUCUGUCGAUGUGUUCUCGGUGGUGGUUGUCAUCGUGUUCUUAGCUUCUUAUUAUGCCCCGUGCAUUUGAUCUACAGUAAGUAUUGACUUAAGCACCCAACGAAGGUAAAUACUAUUAAUUUGGUGGUCAAGCCAAUGAUUGUUUUAGUGAUGCUUUAUAUUGUCUGCUUAAUUAGUGCUCUUUCACUGUGUAUUCCUCAUUUUUUGCUGUAGUGUUUGUUAAGAAAUUUGUGUCUAGUCUAUACUAUGCUCUUGUGUUUCUUUCUACAGGUUCACUUAGUUCUCUUUCUCACUGGACAUACUGUAGCUGCUAACUACCCCAUUUUUAUUCUUCGACGACCACCGUUGCAUUUGCUCUUUGUUUGUCAGGUCAGUUCAUUGGGUCAUGGUUUCGCUUUCAUAAUUUGUUUAUUGUAUUAUUGUUUAAUUUCUACUUAAAUUUGCUUUCACCAAGAGUUGUCAAAUACCAUUGAUUGGCUUGCAACUUUCUUACCACUUCCGUGUAUUUGAAAAAUCAAGGAGAGAGUGUAAUAUUUGUUGUUCUCUUCUUCGAAACAUCAUCUCUCUUCAUCUGCAAAAUCACAAGAUGGGUUUUAUUGCGGCUUCUACGAGGUGGGUUUUUCUCUCUCUCUUAUGCUUUUGUGAAAUUAAUGUAAUUUGAACUACAUGAGUACUCCAUGUUAGUUACUCUAUCAAGGUUAAAGUUUGCUUUGCCUAUUGAUGCUUGAUGUGGGAAUCCUGUCGUUCAAUAUCAGGGUGCUCAUGAGACUAUUACACGCUACAAGCUGAACUGCGUAGAGAGUAAUAUAAUCGGCUUUCAUUAAGUUGUGAAAGACAAGUUAGUUCUUUAAUUAAGCAUUUCUUGACUUUUUGUUAUGGGUUCUUAGUAGUGUGAGUUUAUGAAAAAUGAUAAGCAUAUGUUGUUCUGAUUUCGUACUCAAUGAAUUUCCCACAAUUAAAUAGAUGCUAGAGGUUUCAAUUUUAUUCUUCAAUUGAUGGCGUUAUUUAGCAUUCCUUUUUUCCUUUGAUUCAGCUCUCUAUGUUUCUUCUGGGCAUCUUUAUUCAUAAUCUCGCAAGUCAUUGGGUCUGCCCUUCUUCUUCACGCAUUUAGGUUUGUAACUGGUUAGGUCUCAGACUUCCUCAUUCCUUGUGUCCGUGAAUUGCUAUGUGUUCUUGGUGUGAGCUUCGAUUUUCUACGAUUUGUUGGCAUGAGCUUCGUUUGUUACGGGACGACAGCAUGGCCUUCCAGUAGAUAUGGACUGGAGUGCUCAAUUUGCUGCGGAUUGAGGGUUGGAAUUGCUGUGGGUGACUGGCGUGGUUAAUAGGUUUGGUACCAUCAGGCAGCUGUGGCAAUCAUAAUGUUUUGUGGGUUUUUACCCUGUAACACAAAUGCUUUUAUUACCGCUGUUUUUGCUAUUUUGUUUCAAGUACCAGUACUCAAAUUUAAUCAUGUCCAUCGCCACAAAUAUCCUUUGCUCAGGUAAUCUAUGUCUUUGCUAUUUUGCUUCGAGUACCAAUGCUCAAAUUUCAAUUAUGUCCACUAUCACGAAUCUCUUCCGCAAAAGGUAAUCUCUGUCUGUGCGAUUGCAUUUGGAAUUUUGAUCCUGUUGUGAAUUAUUGUUUUGAAAUUUUAAUUUAAAUUACUGUUACUCGCUUGAGCAUCAUGAUUCGUGUUUUUCUUAAUAUAAGGAUGCGUCAUUUGUCACUAUAGUACUAUAUGCAACAUGACUUGAUGCUUGCUUGGUAAAUUAAAUAGAAUUGUUUGAUGCUUUGCAGUCUAAUUUUUAUCCAUAACAAUGACACAAUGAAUUGACAAGCUAAACAUUUCCGGAAAAUGACAGCUAAGGAACAGGGAUACCUUACCUUGGUCUGACCCCCAACUGCAUUGGCUCACCUCAGGUUCGUCUUUGGGUUGAGUUGUUGUUGUUUACAAGUUGUUUGCCAUUGCGUUUAUUAGACUUUUAUUUGUUGCUUGAGGUAUUUGUCUUACGUUAUCUGAAGUAACCUGAGUCUCCUUUUCACGGGUUUCUCAUUGUUUUGCUUUUUGGCUUCAAGUUGUGGACCUACGUUUCACCUCCUCUUCAGUGCAAUUUUAGGUCUCAAGAGUUGGCUUCAUGUCAUUGUUAUGCCAUCCGUAAAAUUUAAAGCGGAGAAGAUUUUGCCUCCCAAUUUUGUUUUUGUGCUUUGAUUAUUUUGUAGAGGAUGCAAUAACUUAACUUAUUAGUCUUGAGUAGCUUAAUCCACAUUUUUUUUGUCUACUCAAAUUCCAAUAGAUUCGUGGUUUUUUCCUUUGCCGCCAUUUUGACAACCUACCAAUUACAUAUGAGAAUAAUGUAGAUUCUAUCUCCAUUGUUAAAUUGCAAAUCAAGUUAUGUGAAUUUCAAGA
Molecule: long non-coding RNA, 2891 nt
Organism: Tripterygium wilfordii
Lineage: Eukaryota; Viridiplantae; Streptophyta; Magnoliopsida; Celastrales; Celastraceae
Exons: 3
Source: RefSeq, a predicted model, not a curated record